Molecule: long non-coding RNA, 309 nt
Organism: Lathyrus oleraceus (garden pea)
Lineage: Eukaryota; Viridiplantae; Streptophyta; Magnoliopsida; Fabales; Fabaceae
Exons: 2
Source: RefSeq, a predicted model, not a curated record
UCUCAAAGAAAAUCAAAUACAAGUUUGAAAUUCUAUAAUAUGGCAUUUCACACAAAUCAGUCCUAUCUAUUUGUUGUGUGCAUUCUUUUGAUCAUCAGUUCAGGAUCUGUUACUAGUAUCGUGGUUCCUCCUGGAGGAGUGUGUAUAGGACCUUGCACUGCAACUUGCGAUAAUGAUUGUCAUGCUAAAGGAUUUGAAAAAGGUGGACAAUGUUUUACUCGUCUUAUAAAGGCUACUUGUUGUUGUUUUCACAAAUGAGUUCAAAUGUAUGAUUGCCAUCAAAAUAAAUAAAAGAUGUGUUUGAAUUUA